AACGAACGCUGGCGGCAUGCCUAACACAUGCAAGUCGAACGAGACCUUCGGGUCUAGUGGCGCACGGCUACGUAACGCGUGGGAAGCUGCCCUUAGGUUCGGAAUAACUCCCCGUAAGGUGUGCUAAUACCGGAUAAUGUCUUCGGACCUAAGAUUUAUGGCCUUUGGAUGGGCCCGCGUUGGAUUAGCUAGUUGGUAGUGUACAAGCCUACCAAGGCGGGGAUGCAUGGCUGGUCUGGUAGGAUGAUCAGCCACAAUGGGACUGCGGCACGGCCCAGAAUCGGACGGAGGGGAGCAGUGGGGAAUAUUAGGCGAUGGGCGAAAGCCUGAUAAAGCAGUGCCGGGUGAGUGAGGAAGGGCGUAGGGUUGUAAAGCUCUUUUAGACGGGAUGAUAAUGACGGUAACGGGAGAAUAAGCUCCGGCUAACUACGUG
Molecule: ribosomal RNA, 433 nt
Filed under: uncultured bacterium
Lineage: Bacteria
Description: partial 16S ribosomal RNA
Rfam family: Bacterial small subunit ribosomal RNA
Source: RNAcentral